Molecule: transfer RNA, 1579 nt
Filed under: Cervus hanglu yarkandensis (Yarkand deer)
Lineage: Eukaryota; Metazoa; Chordata; Mammalia; Artiodactyla; Cervidae
Description: lncRNA (ENSCHYG00000005282.1)
Rfam family: tRNA (bases 1327-1397)
Source: RNAcentral
CCGCAGCUACACUGCCCGAGAACCUGGCGAGAAACGUAACAUGGAGAAUGCAGGGGAGAGGAUCAACGGCGAGGGGGCAGCUGCUGCGGCAUGUGUCCUCCGGGCCGGACCCUGCCUGCGGUCAGCAGCGGUGCCGCAUGGCCCAGCUGCGGCGGCCGGGGGCGGCAAGGGGCUUCGUUUCUGCUUAUUCAGAGGCGCGCGGCCGCCAUGUCUCGGGGCAGCGUCACUGCAGUCUCCCCGGGUCCCGCGCUCCGGCUCGCCGCGCCCGCCCGCUCCACCUGCUCCCUCCGGCCGCGCUGCAGCCGGUGCGGAAUGAUGCAGCGUCGGCCCGCUCCCUCCCUGCGCGCUGGCCGGGGCUCCGGGCGGGAGGCGGGGAGGCGGGGAGGCGGCGCGGGGGGAGGGGGAGGGAACAGACGGAAAACCUCCGGAGGCGCCUCCCGCCGGUGCCCGGCGCUGAGGCUGAGACGGCUGGACGCGUGCGGGGUGGGACCCCAGCCCGGCCUGGCCCUGCCCGCCCGACUGGCCGCCGGAUGGGUGUCUCGCUGAGACGUGAGCCCAAGCUCAGGAAGCUGCCCGGAACCGGUGCCUUCCUCGAAGAGAAGCAAACGCUUUGCAGCCUUGAUCUCACUGCAGUUAAGAAGCCCAUCCCCACCCAUGUGCUCCUGUAGUGAGUGCCCAGUCUCCGUGACAAUGACAAAUGACCAUGAACUGCUGAAGAAAUGGAGAGGAAACCUGUGAUUGCAGUUAGCUAAACUGUCUUCUUCCCAGGAUGCCCUUACGCCACAAAGUAUAAGCACAGCUCUUCAAAGGGAUCACAACACUUGGGGUAGGUUGCUGUGUCUCUCUUUCCUCUGGAUAGAACAAAGAAUGGAAUUUUCUUCUGUAACUUUCCUAAGUUUCCAUUGCCACCCAUUGCCUAUGCCCCAUUUUCCUGAUUGAUACAAUUUUGUUAAUAUAUUCAGCCUGAGUUCAUUAAGACAUGUACACUAGUUUAAUAGUUUAAGAUUUGAUUACAACUUUGAUCCUUUCUAAGUAUUUCACUUGAAAAAAGUAAGCAUUUCCUUAUACAUUAUACUCUUCCAGUAUUGCAGUUAUAUUUCUCUCUAUAUUCAUAUAUGUGUCAUACAUAUCAUAUAUACAUGCAUACAUACAUAUGUAUAUAUAAAUCAAUGACAGGUACCCAGAAAAUAAUUUCUUAAAUCAUUUGUAGAAGCACGGUUCCCUCAUAUUUCUUUGUCUUAGCAGCCUCCAAUCAUUUAUGAUACUUUCUAACAAAUAUAUUAAAAAAAGUUGUGUUUUUGUGGUCUAGUACCUCAAACCAGAGUGUCUCAGGUGUCUCAGUGGCAAAGAAUCUGCCUGCCAAGCAGGAGACCUGGGUUUGAUCCCUGGGUCGGGAAGGUCCCCAGGAGAAGGAAAUGGCAGCCGCUCCAGUGUUCUCGCUUGGGAAAUCCCAUGGACGGCGGAGCCUGGUAUGACUUUGCAACUGAACUGCCACCACCACCACCUCAAACCAACCUUUCAGCAACUUUGUCAGCAUGAAUAUUGCUUUCUCUUGCUCUCAUUCUUUCAUUCAGUGAUU